UGCAUAUCAAUAAGCGGAGGAAAAGAAACCAACAGGGAUUGCCCUAGUAACGGCGAGUGAAGCGGCAACAGCUCAAAUUUGAAAUCUGGCGUCUUUGGCGUCCGAGUUGUAAUUUGCAGAGGGCGCUUUGGCAUUGGCAGCGGUCCAAGUUCCUUGGAACAGGACGUCACAGAGGGUGAGAAUCCCGUACGUGGUCGCUAGCCUUUACCGUGUAAAGCCCCUUCGACGAGUCGAGUUGUUUGGGAAUGCAGCUCUAAAUGGGAGGUAAAUUUCUUCUAAAGCUAAAUACUGGCCAGAGACCGAUAGCGCACAAGUAGAGUGAUCGAAAGAUGAAAAGCACUUUGGAAAGAGAGUUAAAAAGCACGUGAAAUUGUUGAAAGGGAAGCGCUUGCAGCCAGACUUGCCUGUAGUUGCUCAUCCGGGUUUUUACCCGGUGCACUCUUCUACGGGCAGGCCAGCAUCAGUUUGGGCGGUUGGAUAAAGGUCUCUGUCAUGUACCUCCUCUCGGGGAGAACUUAUAGGGGAGACGACAUGCAACCAGCCCGGACUGAGGUCCGCGCAUCUGCUAGGAUGCUGGCGUAAUGGCUGUAAGCGGCCCGUCUUGAAACACGGACC
This 615-nucleotide small RNA is filed under the name Epicoccum sorghinum. RNAcentral's name for it is "eukaryotic LSU rRNA". It matches the Rfam family "Eukaryotic large subunit ribosomal RNA", at positions 37 to 667 of the family's 3401-position model. The record is from RNAcentral. Lineage: Eukaryota; Fungi; Ascomycota; Dothideomycetes; Pleosporales; Didymellaceae.